RNAcentral lists this transfer-messenger RNA (323 nucleotides) under Reyranella sp. It matches the Rfam family "Alphaproteobacteria transfer-messenger RNA". From Rfam's summary of the family: Bacterial tmRNA, also known as 10Sa RNA or SsrA, is named for its dual tRNA and mRNA-like properties. The record is from RNAcentral. Lineage: Bacteria; Pseudomonadati; Pseudomonadota; Alphaproteobacteria; Hyphomicrobiales; Reyranellaceae.
CACCUUCAAAAAGCCGGGGGAAGAGCCUAUAUAGACGGUGUCGGGAAACCGACUAUGGCGAUAAACGCCGCGUGGCAUAAGCGUUUCGGACCCGGGGGCAGUACCCGGCGCCUCCACCAUUUCUCUCCGCCUCCAGGGGCGGAACCGAUGGGGGCGAACCAGGAUCGACGAGCGUGGUAAAGGCGCGGUUUUUGCCCGGUAUGGUUCCGCCGUGACGGGCCAUUCACAAGUGCUAACGAUAACACCGUUACACUCGCUGCUGCCGCCUAAACAGCGGACGUAAGCGCGGUCCGGGGGGCACCGGGCAACAGAAGCCCCCCACU